AAGUGAGAUGUGAAUGAUAGACUUAUUAUGGCUGAACGUGCAUUCACUGACAGAGAUGGCCUCUUAGGAAUGACAUGGCAUAAGCAUUUGGGUUCUAACUUCUAAGAAAGAUGAAAUUGAAGAAACCAAGCAAGCAAAGAAGAGAAGAAACAUCAAACAUGGCUGCUACUGUUGGAAUCACAGAACCACAAGGAGAUCCAGAAAGUGUAUUUGUCAAUGGCUCUGAGCAAGUCACCAUCAUGCAAUCUAAAAGGAAUAGGAUCAAUAUAAAAUCUUGUUUGUUUAAAUUGUUGAAAA
This is a non-coding RNA of Arachis ipaensis, 297 nucleotides long. Lineage: Eukaryota; Viridiplantae; Streptophyta; Magnoliopsida; Fabales; Fabaceae. The record is from RefSeq and is a predicted model, not a curated record.